This 635-nucleotide long non-coding RNA is filed under the name Oncorhynchus kisutch (coho salmon). Its description in RNAcentral is "lncRNA (ENSOKIG00005040873.1)". The record is from RNAcentral. Lineage: Eukaryota; Metazoa; Chordata; Actinopteri; Salmoniformes; Salmonidae.
AGGUAUAUGGUGGUUAGAGGGGGUCAGGUGGACUGGUGGUUAGAGGGGGUCAGGUGGACUGGUGGUUAGAGGGGGGGUCAGGUAGAUUGGUGGUUAGAGGGGGUCAGGUAGACUGGUGGUUAGAGGGGGUCGGGUAGACUGGUGAUUAGAGGGGGUCAGGUAGACAGGUGGUUAGAGGGCGUCAGGUGGACUGGUGGUUAGAGGGGGGGUUCAAGUAGACUGGUGGUUAGAGGGGAGGGGGGGUCAGGUAGAUUAGUGGUUAGAGGGGUUCAGGUAGACUGGUGGUUAGAGGGGGUCAGGUAGACUGGUGGUUAGAGGGUUCAGGUAGAUUGGUGGUUGGAGGGGGGGGUCAGGUAGACUGGUGGUUAGAGGGGGUCAGGUAGACUGGUGGUUAGAGGGGGUCAGGUAGACUGGUGGUUAGAGGGGGUCAGGUGGACUGGUGGUUAGAGGGGGGAUCAGGUAGAUUGGUGGUUAGAGGGGGUCAGGUGGGCUGGUGGUUAGAGGGGGGGGGUCAGGUAGAUUGGUGGUUAGAGGGGGUCAGGUAGACUGGUGGUUAGAGGGGGUCAGGUAGACUGGUGGUUAGAGGGGUCAGGUAGACUGGUGUUAGGGGGGUCAGGUGGACUGGUGGUUAGAGG